AAAGGUUUCAAACUUCUUCGUUCUUCGACAGUACCGACGUACUGGACAACUUUGCACUGCAUUUCAAAGAAAAAUCAUCAUCUACUUCUGCUGCAAAAGAACCGGUUGAUCCAAUGGUUAAGAAAGUGCAGGAGCUCUUCAACAGGAAAUACAAUGAAGCGGGAGGCAGAGGAAGGCUCCUGUACAUCUCCAUUCAAAAUGAAAGCAUAAUUAUCAACGCUUUUGGUCUACCUGAUGGCAUCACUCUCAAAAAGCCAUGCCACUAUGGACGUAAACAGUUAGAAGUCAUUUUAAAUAAUGCGGCGAACAUUUCCUUUAAAAUUAGUAAGUGUUUGAGCAUAAAUGUUGAUAGAUUAUAUUUAGUCAUCCGGUAAAAACAUACUUUGUAAUCAUUCAAUGGGGUGGUCUGUUGUUGAGAGGUCAUUUUCAUAAUUUUAUGUUCUUAUAUUUAGUCAUUCCUUUUGCACUGCUAGACUUUAAUUUGAAGUAUUUAAAGAGCAGAAUCCAAAAGUAGCAUAUGUUUUGGGAAAAGUGUAACACUCACUAUGUGUUUACAGUUAAUGAACUCGUAAUAAAACCAGAGCUAGACUCGGCUGCUGGAGUAGUGAGAAGUGUAUUUUGAAUUAAUGACCACAGACCC
Xiphophorus couchianus (Monterrey platyfish) is the source of this 640-nucleotide long non-coding RNA. RefSeq lists it as uncharacterized. The record is from RefSeq and is a predicted model, not a curated record. Lineage: Eukaryota; Metazoa; Chordata; Actinopteri; Cyprinodontiformes; Poeciliidae. The transcript is spliced from 3 exons.